CAAACGCUGGCGGCGUGUCUUAAGCAUGCAAGUCGAGCGGCAAGGGCAGCAAUGCCCCUAGAGCGGCGGACUGGUGAGUAACGCGUGGGUGAUCUACCUUGGGCAUGGGGAUAGCCAUUAGAAAUAGUGGGUAAUACCGAAUAUGUUCGUUACCGUGAGGGUAACGAGGAAAGGCGCUACGGCGCCGGCCUGGAGAUGAGCUUGCGUCCGAUUAGCUAGUUGGUGAGGUAAUGGCUCACCAAGGCGAUGAUCGGUAGCCGGCCUGAGAGGGUGUACGGCCACACUGGGGCUGAGAUACGGCCCAGACUCCUACGGGAGGCAGCAGCUAAGAAUAUUCCGCAAUGGACGAAAGUCUGACGGAGCGACGCCGCGUGGAUGAUGAAGGCCGAAAGGUUGUAAAGUCCUUUUGCUGGGGAAGAAUAAGCGUGGGAGGGAAUGCCCGCGUGAUGACAUGAACCGGCGAAUAAGCCCCGGCUAACUACGUGCCAGCAGCCGCGGUAACACGUAGGGGGCGAGCGUUGUUCGGAAUUACUGGGCGUAAAGGGCAUGUAGGCGGCUUUGUAAGCUUGGCGUGAAAUUCCACGGCUUAACCGUGGGAAUGCGUUGAGAACUGCGAGGCUUGAGUGACGGAGAGGGAGCUAGAAUUCCUGGUGUAGGGGUGGAAUCUGUAGAGAUCAGGAAGAAUACCAAUGGCGAAGGCAAGCUCCUGGCCGAUGACUGACGCUGAGGUGCGAAAGUGUGGGGAUCAAACAGGAUUAGAUACCCUGGUAGUCCACACUGUAAACGAUGUACACUAGGUGCUGGGGCGGAUGCUUCAGUGCCGUAGCUAACGUGAUAAGUGUACC
This 845-nucleotide ribosomal RNA is filed under the name uncultured bacterium. Its description in RNAcentral is "bacterial SSU rRNA". It matches the Rfam family "Bacterial small subunit ribosomal RNA", at positions 30 to 870 of the family's 1533-position model. The record is from RNAcentral.